This 95-nucleotide non-coding RNA is filed under the name bovine gut metagenome. RNAcentral's name for it is "THF riboswitch". It matches the Rfam family "THF (Tetrahydrofolate) riboswitch aptamer". Rfam says of the family: THF riboswitch presents a pseudoknot that joins P1-P2 and the loop of P3 and two THF binding. The record is from RNAcentral. RNAcentral also lists the same sequence under 1 other name.
GCAGAGUAGGCUGCGAAGCGUUAAGUGCCUUUUGAACAGGAAGUUGUCAGAGGACGAAAAGCAUUGCUUGCGAUUUCGCAGCCGCAUUCCGCUGC